UCUUAUCGAGAAAGGUGGAGGGACAGGCCCUGCGAAGCCUUAGCAACCAGCUGCGACUGCGGUCGGAGUGUUAGGUGCUAAUUCCUGCCCAGACUUCCGGGACAGAUGAGA
Molecule: non-coding RNA, 111 nt
Filed under: marine eukaryotic metagenome
Description: SAM riboswitch (S box leader)
Rfam family: SAM riboswitch aptamer (S box leader)
About the family: The SAM riboswitch is found upstream of a number of genes which code for proteins involved in methionine or cysteine biosynthesis in Gram-positive bacteria.
Source: RNAcentral